GUCGGGGUAGCGUCAUCGCUGGACCGCCCCUGACUGACCAUCGCGGCAGCAUACACAACUUGCAGCUGGACAUAAUGGACGGGAUUGUGCAGCAGCGGAAGACGCGCAGCGGCAGUGGAGUCUGGACAGCGCCGGUGCUCCAGGAGGCCGACAGCAAUGUGCCCGUGCAGACAUAAGCGGACAAAGGACAACGGACAAAGGACAGCGGACAGUGGACAGUGGACACGCACGGACACGGACACGGACGCUAGUAUGGAUUCGAUUGGAUUGGAUGGUGGUAGGGCUGGUCGGUCGGACACUGAGCAAUAUAAACACACACAUGGACAAACACAAACAAACAAAAACAAAUACAAAUAUACGAAUGAACAAUCUGGGACUGUGCUACUCGAACUGGACCUUUAUUAACAUUUCUGGUAUUCCUGCCUCACACACACUUUCUCUCUCUCUCUCUCUGUCUCUGUCUCUCUCUUUCUGUUCUGCUCGGUCUGCUUCUUGCUCUGGGAAAUUGGUUUUCGCGGCUGGCGCAUCAUGCGAGGAGCAAACAAACCGCGAAAACCGCUCAAAUCCAGCAAGGAAACCCAGUUGAAAAAAGCCAAAAAUUCCAAUGUGAAAAACUACACUUAAAAGGAACAGAAAGAGACAGAGAGAGAGAGGGCGAGAGGGAUGGAGAGCAGUUUAAAACGGACAAAACGCAAACAAAAAAUGACAAAAAAAAAAAAAAAACAGUUAAGGAAAGAAGAAAAACGCCCCGCCCCAUUGGCCGCAAUUGAUUGGCAGCAACUUUCGGCCAACACCUGUGCAGUGUGCCACGUCUAAGCAUCCUCGGUCACCCCUGAAUAACAGCGGACUCAGCUUAACAAAUUGUCCAACCAAAGAAUACAACAAACCAAAAAUAAACACGAAAACGAAAACCAUCCGCGAUGCAAAAGCUAUUUAUGGACUGACGUGAAUUGGCUAUCAAGGUGAGUUUUGAGGAAAAAGAAGAGCUUGUGCUUGCUGCCUGUUUAUUUCCUUUUUAAGCGUAUUUAAUUUGAUUUCUUUUUUGGUUUGCACAUUUCAUGCAAUGUCCACGCCAGUGCUGCUGGUGUGAGCUGCGCUGCACGUAAGAAAACACUCACGCACAUGCAUAAUGAAAUGCAGCCUUGCCACAAGGACAUGCCACAUGAACAUGCGAAAUGGGGGCCAAGGACGAGGGCGAGGCUAUCUCGCAGCUAGCAUGAACCUAACUGCUUUGCUCAACAUCCCAGCAGCCAUUACUUUAAGCUUUUGUUUUUGUACUUUCCGGCUGCUGCCACGUGGCGUAUGAUUAAUUUUCUGCAGGAACAGCUGUAUCAAUGGCACUGACCAUGCCAGCAAAG
This 1358-nucleotide long non-coding RNA is filed under the name Drosophila guanche. Lineage: Eukaryota; Metazoa; Arthropoda; Insecta; Diptera; Drosophilidae. The record is from RNAcentral.